Molecule: long non-coding RNA, 1342 nt
Filed under: Fukomys damarensis (Damara mole-rat)
Lineage: Eukaryota; Metazoa; Chordata; Mammalia; Rodentia; Bathyergidae
Description: lncRNA (ENSFDAG00000027527.1)
Source: RNAcentral
CUCCAGGCCUCCAACAGCCAUCAGAUGAGGGCUGAAUGGUACACGAGAUGGAACACGGGGUUGGGGGAACAGAUGGGCCUGGGGUUUUAUUUUUGGAGACAGGAUCUAGCUGUGUAGUUCGGGCUGGCCUCAAACUGCUGGUAAUCCUCCUGCCUCAGCCUCCUGAGUGCAAGCGUGGACCAACCCGCUUGGCAUGCGGAGUCUUUGGAUCCCCCAUAUCCCCUCCACCCAAAGUGCUGGAAUCUGCUUGAAUUUCUCCCUCCCGUCACUGGCUCAGGUGAGGAAACUGAGGUCCCGGUCACCCAGAGUACACAGCAGAGUCACAACACAAGCCCAGUUCUCCAGAGGGCAGAACUUGUGCCCACCACCUUACACCAGCGAGUCGCACCCGGGGGCGACUGUGCACCUGCUCCCCCACCCCCAACAGGUAGCUCUGUCUGAUCAUCAUAUGCGGGUCACAGAGGGUGAGCGCUCCUGGUACAGGACAGGGAGGCGGGGUCACUGCCCCUCCCAAAGACAGCGUCUGCAGCACCCGGGACCAAAUCCGGCCUGGUGUCCAGCUCCCCUCCGCAGGCCUCCUACACGUGCCUUCCCGCCCACAACCCCCCUGCGCCUAGUGACACCCCCUGCCUUUCUGACCCAAGGCGGGACCCCUCCUUAGGGUCUCCAGCACCCCACCUGGACUUCCAGGCAGGAGAGAGAGAGAGGGAGCAGAGGAGAGGCGGCCUCUGGUUUGGAGGACAGGGGAGGUAGCCGGGUCUGAGGUCCAGCUACACCGAGUCCGGGUGUGUGUAGUGCGGUCAGCACGUGACCACCGUUUCCUAGCCGGCAAAACUGAGGCUUGGGGGGACUCUUCCACCCCCCGUGGCCAGGGCACAGUGGGGAGCAGGCAGUGGGGGAUUCUGGCCGGGAGGGGUCUGGUUUUGCACACCUGGCCGGCCGUCUCCAGGCGGAAUUUGACCCAGUAACAGUAGCAAGCCCUUGAGGACAGCGACAGUGUCUGGAGGAGCCGCUGGCUGAGGCGGGGCAGGUGGGCAGGGGGCUCCUGACGAGGACGCGCUCAGGAGCCAGUGGGAGGCGGGAGCUGCGGCCUGACCCCCACCUGGCGGUGAGAUCCCCCAAGAAUCAGCGCCAGGAGAACCAAUCAAGGGCAGCAGGGGAGUGGGGAGGGUUGGGGGAGGAGACGCGGCAGGGACCAAGGGACCCAGGGUAGGGAGAUGCCACCCAGGCCCCAGAUCCAAGGGAAGCCGUGGGGGCAUCGAGGACCCCCGCCCCCGCCCCUCAGAAGGCCCCUGGGGUAGAGCCCUGACCUCCGGUCAGCAAGGGCCAGCCCCUCUGUCCC